This is a long non-coding RNA of Oncorhynchus nerka (sockeye salmon), 1685 nucleotides long. RefSeq lists it as uncharacterized. Lineage: Eukaryota; Metazoa; Chordata; Actinopteri; Salmoniformes; Salmonidae. The transcript is spliced from 2 exons. The record is from RefSeq and is a predicted model, not a curated record.
UCUAGUAAAAAUGAGAAGAAAAAAAAAUCUCCCUCACGAACUCAAACAUGCAACUUUUGACAUCUCUUUUCCAUUUGCUGCAUCAUUUCUAGACAUGACUCAGAGGACAGUCAUUGAGGAGUGUUGCUAGUGUGGCAUAUUCCAUUGAAGAUAUUGUAUUUCUGUGUCUCUCCUGCACUGCCGCAAUUAUGCAAUCUGGACAUUACCCAGUCCUAUGCUCUGAGUCCAGACACACUUUGAUUUCCAGCAGUUCAUUGUCUCUGAAGAGGAGCUUUCCCCUGAGCAGCAGCAUUAUAAGCAGGAGUGGAGCCCCAGUCUGGGGAAAGAUGACUGGAACCCCAUACAGAUUAAAGAGGAACAGGGGGAAUUCAGUAUCAUCCAGGAGGAGGAAGACUUUGUAUUCACUCCUGCCUGGGUGAAAAGUGACUGAUCAGUACUCAACUCAGUCCUCACAAACCCAAAGUGAAGAAUACAAAGACAGAAUGGCCUCAACUGAACAGAUCAAAACAGAACCUAAGGAAGAGGACUCCUCAUAGCCAACCAAUGACUCUCGGCCCCUGCGCAAAUCAAAGAGGACGCUUUUGCAGACAGAAAAAGGACAAGGCUUCAUUAUCUGCUCUAACUGUAGAAAAUCCAUGGCUCUGAAAUCACCAGUGCAAAGGAGUCACAUAUAAGAGAAACCAUAUCACUGUCAGUAUUGUAGCAGGCGUUUUCCAAAGACAAUAAAUAAUAUUUUGCACAUGAGGAGAAAUAAUUUAGCUGGAGUGAUUGUGGCGAAUGUUUCACUUAGAUUGGAAUACUGAAUUCUCAUAGGAUCAUGAUACACUCAUGAGAGAAUCGACAUCGCUGUGGUGAAUGUGGCAAAUGUUUUUUCUCUCCCCAAGCUGGAUAUCUUAACUAUCACAUGUUUCUUUCGAGUUUGUUAUCUGAAUAGUCAUAGGAGGAUUCACACAGGGGAGAAAUCAUAUCGCUGACAGGUCUGUGGCAAAUGUUUUGCUCAGGUUAGUUCUCUGAAGUAUCACAAUAUGAUUCACACAGGGGGGGGGGGGGUAUCUUAUGUAGCACUGGAGGUAAUCACGUGAUAAAUAGAAAUAUAGUUUCUUUCACUCCUUCCAAUCUGAAUCGUCUGAGGAGACUGAAGGGAGGAACCACAUUAAAUACCAUGACUGGCAAAUCGUUCACAGCUGCCUUUUAUUUGACACUGCGUAUGAGACAUUCACACAUUACACGUUGUCUGUAGAAAAUGCUUUAGUGCCAGAAGUGCAUUGAAUAGUCACCGGAGAACACACAGAGGAGGAAUCGUACAAGUCAAAUGAAUGCUUCAAAACAAAGCCCGAAAGCCCAACGGCUCAACCGAGGAAACACUUGAUUGACCUUUACCUUGGUAGCCCUGGGGCUCGCUCUCCAUUAAAGGUCAUAAUCAGGGCAUAUUCUACAUAACCUGUCAUUUUCCAUUCUGUGAAACAAUUUUUCCACUGAGAUCAGAACAUUGUGUAGCCCAACCAGAAAGAUGAAACUAUGCCCUGUGUGGGAGAAAGGCAUCAGACAGAAGAUUAAGAGGCACAUUUUGUAACUUCCACCUGUGAGUGGAGACCCGGAUCUUGGGUGAAUAAUAUGCUGUAUGCCUUUGGCUAUUUGUAAUACUUCAAAUACAGUUACUAUUGUUCAUAGUUUUUUAAACUUGA